CACGUAGGGGACGAGCGUUGUCCGGAUUCAUUGGGCGUAAAGCGCGCGUAGGCGGCUCGGAAAGUCGGGCGUGAAAUGCCGGGGCUCAACCCCGGGACUGCGUCCGAUACUUCCGAGCUGGAGGUAGGUAGGGGGAGAUCGGAAUUCCUGGUGUAGCGGUGAAAUGCGCAGAUAUCAGGAGGAACACCGGUGGCGAAGGCGGGAUCUCUGGGCCGUACCUGACGCUGGAGACGAGAAGCUGGGGAGCGA
Molecule: ribosomal RNA, 249 nt
Filed under: uncultured bacterium
Lineage: Bacteria
Description: partial 16S ribosomal RNA
Rfam family: Bacterial small subunit ribosomal RNA
Source: RNAcentral